ACGAACGCUGGCGGCACGCUUAAUACAUGCAAGUCGAACGUGAACCUCGGGGCUUGCCCUGGGGGGAAAGUGGCGAACGGGUGAGUAACACGUGAGAAACCUGCCCCGAAGACUGGGAUAACACCGGGAAACCGGUGCUAAUACCGGAUACCUUCAUCGGACCGCAUGAUCUGGUGAAGAAAUGGAUUCUGCUUCGGGAUGGUCUCGCGGCCUAUCAGCUUGUUGGUGGGGUAACGGCCUACCAAGGCUUCGACGGGUAGCUGGUCUGAGAGGAUGUCCAGCCACACUGGGACUGAGACACGGCCCAGACUCCUACGGGAGGCAGCAGUAGGGAAUCUUGCGCAAUGGGCGAAAGCCUGACGCAGCGAUGCCGCGUGCGGGAUGAAGGCCUUCGGGUUGUAAACCGCUUUCAGCAGGGACGAAAUUGACGGUACCUGCAGAAGAAGCCCCGGCCAACUACGU
Molecule: ribosomal RNA, 462 nt
Filed under: uncultured bacterium
Lineage: Bacteria
Description: bacterial SSU rRNA
Rfam family: Bacterial small subunit ribosomal RNA
Source: RNAcentral